Equus caballus (horse) is the source of this 2777-nucleotide non-coding RNA. The record is from RefSeq and is a predicted model, not a curated record. Lineage: Eukaryota; Metazoa; Chordata; Mammalia; Perissodactyla; Equidae.
GGAAGUGGGUGACUAGGACAAGCAAGGAGCAGCUGGAGAUGGCCCAUUCGUUCCACCUCCAACUCCAGGAGUUCUUUGAGGUCACCGGGCACCACCCUUCAAGGCCUCGGGGCUAAACUUGCAAAGCACCAGGGUGCUGGGUGAACAUGGCUGUGUUCCUGCUCGGCACUCACUACCCACUUCAUCCUCACGUUCAGUCCACUGCUUCAAGAGAAGUGGGUCCCCUGGAGCAGAGAAGAAGUUGCUGACCUCCACCCUAGUCUAUCAGAGGAGGGUCCUAUUCCCACGCCAUGGGUGAGCAGGGCAGCUCAUGACCCAGGAUGGCGCCUUUGUGUGAGCUGUUGAGGAAGCCGACAGCCCCUUGUUGAGAACCUGAGGAUGUCAGGAACCAGCAGGCAGCCCUAAGGAGGACGACCUUAUCAAGUUUGUCUGAAGCCAUCCUAGCUCUGGAAUUUUCAGCUAUGCAUGUCAAUACGUUCUUUUUAAUCUUAAAUUAGCUAGACUUGGUUUUCUUGCUUGCAGCCAAAGAAACUUAACUGACAGAGUCUCUUGGAAGAAAUCCUACUCCAGAUGUGGAGGUAACAGGAUUAAUUAGUUCCCAAGAUCCUUGCCUUCCAGUGGAAACAGCGGCCGCAGGAGUCUGCCUAAUGGAGCCCUCUGUGAGCUGAAUUUGUCCUGUUCUGGGCAAAAUCUGGAAGCUCAGGAGAUGCAGUUAGUGUCCUGCACUUUCACUUCACAGAGCAGACUUUUCUCAAUUUCCGUGCACACCAUAUCAACACUACUGCAUCUUUUAAUUCAAAUGAAAUGCCUGAAGGAGUUCAGGAGGGAGAAACCUCAUAAUAAGUGCCAUUAUUCUGUUUGGAUUGAGUUUUCAGACCAUCAGACUUUAUCAAACACAGACUCAUUAUCAAAUAAGAAUACAAAUACAUGUAAUUUUUGAUUAUAAUAUUUUUAGAAAUAUAAAUCUGUUUUCCCCUUUUAUUGAUUAAUUCCACUUCGUGCCAUUUAAACUGCUGAGUUGCUUUCUGCUCAGAAUCUCAGGGAAAGGAUGUGACGUGAUGGAAAACAUAAAAAUGAGACCAAAAACCCCCCAACUCCAGGAAGCUUCCUGACAGAAAGAUCACACAUUUAAGGCAAUGGAGAGUCUCCCAAGAGACCAAUCUCUUGGGAUAAAUAUCACGGGGCGAGGGUUGCUUUGCCCUUCUGGAGAGAGAGUUCUCCCGAGCGUAUGUGGGAAGGAAGAGAGGAAGGCAUCAGAGAGGAGGUGCUGACAAUACAAAUGGGCGGGCUUCAGAGAGAGGGGUCCCAGGCUCUCCUCAGACCUCUGUGCCCCAGAGGCCUCGCUGGGGCCUCUGCCUGCGAUUCUGCAGGGCCAAGGGGAGAUGCCCAUCCUCUGCCACCCAGAUUCCUUGCUGGCUGGGCCCAAGAAGCUUCUGGUCCCUGUCCUGGCCUCCACCAUGUGAAGUGUGGGCCACACUGCCAUGGAGGGCUGGGUGGGUCCCAGGGGCAUGUGGUGUGAGGGUCCUGGGAUGGGAGACAGGCUGCACUCCACUGUGCUCCUCUCGCUCUCCCUCCAUGUUACAGGCCAGCCCCAGGGCCCCUUCCUUGGCGGAAACCCAGCAAAGUGGCACAAUUCCCAGCCAGCGUGGUAAGAGGAGAGUCCCAGACUCACUGAAGAGAAUUUUCACGACCUCUGCCACUGCUGCAGCAUCAGGUUUGAUAUAGAAACUAGGCUGAGUCAGGUAAAAAAUAUCUGUCACACGCUCGAGUUUACGGGUGGAGACCGAUGACCUUCUAGGUCAGAUAUAUUCGUCUCCAUUGGCGUGGAAAAUCAAGAGUUGACCUCACUCCUCAGUCACUCCAAGCGCGACAGCUAAAUCUGCUGGACCCAGCAGCCAGCAGCACGCAAGCGUCGGGACAGGUGAUCGUAUUUCACGUCGCUGGAUUGUGCUUCCUUGCAACGUACUCUUGUGCAUUUCGAAGAACUGCCUUUUCUUCAUUCGAUUAUGGAGUCUGUCCUCAACGGAGAAGGGAUGAAUCAUCGGGUUUCCAGAGGAAGCUCCUGAGAGAGGUUUUUUCUUUAACAUAUAACCAAUGAAGUCCUAGGACAAGAACACAUUUAUCUUUUCUAAUUGUUUCCCUCCUCUAAGACAUAGCAGGUUUUGUGGAAAUAUUAACGUAAUAGCUAUGCUGAAUAAUUCUUCAACCGAAGAACAGUAUAAUUAACCCAGUAUUCUUUUUCUAAAAUCUCCUCCAUUUUUCUGAUACCAUUUUUCUCAUCCUUCACCUGGGGAUAAAGUGAGGGGGGAAAAUAGAGAAAGUACGGGGCAGCCGUUGUCAGCCACGGUGAUUUUCCACACUGGGGGAACUGGGCAGUUUCUGCAGACAUUUCUGGCUGUCGCCAUUGGUGAGGUGGGGAAAGGGGGGAUGUCUGGGGAAAGGCCGGACUCUAGUGGGAAGAGGCCAGAGAUGCUGCCAAACAUGUUCCGAUGAAGAGGAGUACCCUCACCCGCAACGAAGAGAUAUCAGAGGGCCAUCCCCGUGGCCUAGCGGUUGAGUUCGGCGUGCUCCACUUGGGUGACCCGCCAUGUCAUGGUGGCAGCUCUACGAAAAGAAGAGGACCAUGUUAGCUUAGGGUGACUCUUCCUCAGCAGAGCGCGCGAACUUAACCACUCGGCCCGCGGCCAGCCCCCAACUUUCUAACAAAAGGAUAAAAUUCCAUAAAAUCAAUAUUAUGGUUAUUACAAGCAUAAAAACAAGACCAUGAUUAUGUUUCA